RNAcentral lists this long non-coding RNA (338 nucleotides) under Nicotiana benthamiana. RNAcentral's name for it is "long non-coding RNA (NBEN_LNC037259)". The record is from RNAcentral. Lineage: Eukaryota; Viridiplantae; Streptophyta; Magnoliopsida; Solanales; Solanaceae.
UUUUUUUGGUCUGUUCUAGAAAGAAUGAACUCUUUCUAAAUUUGGUAACAAUUUAGCUUAAACUUACAACUGUACCCUUAAUCUAAAGUGUUUUUAACCACACAAAUACUUUGAGCCCCAUGUACAUGUAGGCUUGUUUAGGACAAUAAAUUUUAAAAGUCUUUUUUUUUUAAACUCCGUGUUCGAUCAAACAGACUCAAAUAAAUUGAAACGGAGGAGUAUAAAAUAAUCAAGGACUUGUUAUAGGUCAACUUAACUUAAUGGUAAAAAGAAUUAUGCAUUCACAGCUCACAUAAUUUAACAUAUUGUAUGGAGUCUUUACUACAAUUGUCAUUUGA